RNAcentral lists this unclassified non-coding RNA (1063 nucleotides) under Hevea brasiliensis (rubber tree). The record is from RNAcentral. Lineage: Eukaryota; Viridiplantae; Streptophyta; Magnoliopsida; Malpighiales; Euphorbiaceae.
CAGGUACAGAAAUAGCUGCUCUGAGAGGUGUACUAGGAUUAAUCAAGAAAUAUGAGCUUCAGUCAGAGUACUCACCUCAGGUUAUUAGGGAUCGCAUCCUUAAGCUUAAAAAGCAGAAAAAUGAGAAAAAAGCCGCUGGAAGAUUCCCUAAACCUGUGGUUCAGCUGCAGCAGCAGAUUGGAAAUAAACGAACUGCUCCUGAUAAUUCACAACAGAAACAGCAGGAUACAUAUAAGCGUCUCCGGACAGUGGCAACAACAGUGCCUACCUCAAAUAUUUCUGUCAAUACGCCAAUGAACUUGAAACUACCAUCUUAUCAUCAAGAGGCAGGAUUGUACAGGGGUGAAGAUGCAAAAUACUUCUCCCCAUUAUCUGGAAGAACAGCACUGGCAAACAGCUUCACAAACGCUUCUGUUAGUGCUACUUUGACUAGUCAGUCAACACAAUUGUCUCGCAUGCGUACAGCAAGCUUAAUAUCGGGGCAAGGUGCACAGCAAUUAAUCCAAUCUUCCAGACUCUCCAGUUUGGCAGGCUCCUUUCCAGUUACUGCUCUCCUCUCCAGUUACUGCACCUACAACAUUGUCUGAUGGCAGAGCGCGUAAUGCUUUCCAUACGCUAUCAAUGAGUUCAGUGCCUGGACAGUAUAGGCCUAUUGGAUCUGUUCCUGCUGCUAACCAUCAUCACCAUACUCCAACAAUCGAUCGAUACCGUUUAAUGGCCUCAACAUCUUUCAGACCACAUAUGAGCGCAUUAGUUUCACAAUAUCAUACAAACAUCAGAAAUGAGAACACUGGUAGACUUGGAUCAACUGAUUUCCCCUACAGAAAUUGGCAUCGCAUCUAAUUCAAAUUCUUGUGAAUAAGUCCCUUGUAUCUUUGAGAAGCAGUUAGAACAUAUGCAAAAAAGUUCUAGGCAUACAUUGUUGUUUUUUGGUUAUGAAAUUUAUAGCUAACUUGUGAACGAGCGUUCCUUUCAUGCAAUAGCAACUCUGUAAUCAAUGGGUCCCGACUUUUGAGUGGCCUUGGCUUGACUUAUGUAACUCCUUGUAUUUGAUAACGCAGCA